GUUGAUAGGCCGGGUGUGUAAGCGCAGCGAUGCGUUGAGCUAACCGGUACUAAUGACCCGUGAGGCUUAACCUUA
RNAcentral lists this ribosomal RNA (75 nucleotides) under Candidatus Pantoea varia. RNAcentral describes it as "Pantoea sp. OV426 partial 23S rRNA. Bacterial LSU". It matches the Rfam family "Bacterial large subunit ribosomal RNA", at positions 2852 to 2925 of the family's 2925-position model. Lineage: Bacteria; Pseudomonadati; Pseudomonadota; Gammaproteobacteria; Enterobacterales; Erwiniaceae. The record is from RNAcentral.